UUCAUUUACUCAAAUGACAUGCACAUAUGGGAGCACACUUAUUACAACCACUGUUAAGAGAUUAGAGAGUUGUAUAAAUCGCAUUUUAAAUGAAAUAUUUACUCGUAGGCUGACAGAACGCCGUCUGACAGGAGUAACGACGCUUUUUUGAGGUGCUUCUUUACUGGAACAAAGUUCCUCUGACAGGAAAUUUAUUUUAUCAGGUAUUUAUACAGCGGCGGGAUCAUCACAAAGAUAGGAAAGUUUCCUCUGACUAAACAAUUCAUUCAGCACUAGUGGCUGUUAAGAGCAGAGUGACCAUGGCAACCGGAAUAUGCACUGAAGACUGAAAACAGCAAAAUAAGGACAAAAGACCAACAACGUCAGAUUAAGUAACACUCAUUUCAAAGUGUUUUUGUUAAUAUUUAUCUGUAAAUUAUUUUGUAGCAUGCUUAAAUCAUAUGUUAUGUACACUGUCUUUAUGCUGUUUCAUAACUAUUAUAUAGCUAUUAUGUAUUUAAAUAGCUGUUAUACAAAUUACUGUUAAUUGAUAUAAACCUGUUCCACGUUUCUUGAAGCUAUUAUUCUUUUAUUAUUUUGACAGUUGUUGAAGCAAAAUAAUAACAUGUUAUUGUGUACUGUUGUACAA
This is a long non-coding RNA of Triplophysa rosa, 628 nucleotides long. RefSeq lists it as uncharacterized. The record is from RefSeq and is a predicted model, not a curated record. Lineage: Eukaryota; Metazoa; Chordata; Actinopteri; Cypriniformes; Nemacheilidae. The transcript has 3 exons.